AUACGGAGGGUGCAAGCGUUGUCCGGAUUUAUUGGGUUUAAAGGGUGUGUAGGCGGUGUAUUAAGUCAGUGGUGAAAGCCUGCGGCUCAACCGUAGAACUGCCAUUGAUACUGACACACUUGAGUAUGGACGAGGUAGGCGGAAUUUAUGGUGUAGCGGUGAAAUGCAUAGAUACCAUAAAGAACACCGAUAGCGAAGGCAGCUUACUAGGCCAUAACUGACGCUGAGGCACGAAAGCGUGGGGAGCGAACAGGAUUAGAUACCCCAGUAGUCC
This 274-nucleotide ribosomal RNA is filed under the name uncultured bacterium. RNAcentral's name for it is "partial 16S ribosomal RNA". It matches the Rfam family "Bacterial small subunit ribosomal RNA", at positions 523 to 796 of the family's 1533-position model. The record is from RNAcentral.